GUGAAAAAAGUGUCAUUUGAAGUGUAGAAAGUCACUUUUGAUCAAAAGUACCGUAACAAAACUUGUUCCCAUUCAUCCUGUGUGUCCAGACACUCUGGUGCUCUUUAUAAGCUGAAAACGCUAUACAGCACUUGAGAAGACGCUAGGAGCAAAGGAAAGUGGUUUAUCUAACAAACUCAUAUAAUCAAUUGCCCGACGGACUCCAAUGAGAUAUUUUUCACAUAGUUAGACAUAAUACAGUACUAUGAAAUGUUUCGGACCUAAAAUAAGACUAAAUAUGAUUUUUUACAUUAAAAUGUAAAACUCAAUGAAAAGGUGAUAAAAGUGUCAUUUGAAGUGUAGAAAGUCACUUUUCAUCAAACGUACCAUAACAAAACUUGUUCCCAUUCAUCCUCUGUGUCCAUACACACUGGUGCUCUUUAUACGCUCAAAACGCUAUACAGCGCUUGAGAAGUCGCUAGGCGCAAAGGAAAGUGUUUUUCUAACAAACUCAUAUAAUUAAUUGCCCUCUGGACUCCAAUAUGAUAUUUUUCACAUAGUUAGACAUAAUAUAGUACUAUGAAAUGUUUCUGACCUAAAAUAAUACGAAAUAUAAUUGUUUACAUUAAAAUGUAAAAAUUGAUGAUAAAGUAUGAUAAGGUGAAAAACGUGUCAUUUGAAGUGUAGAAAGUCACUUUUCAUCAAAAGUACCAUAACAAAACUUGUUCUCAUUCAUCCUGUGUGUCCAUACACACCGGUGCUCUUUAUACGCUCAAAACGCUAUACAGCGCUUGAGAAGGCGCUAGGAGCAUAGGAAAGUGGUUUAUCUAACAAACUCAUAUAAUCAAUUGCCCGACGGACUCCAAUAGGAUAUUUUUCACAUAGUUAGACAUAAUACAGUACUAUGAAAUGUUUCUGACCUAAAAUAAGACGAAAUAUGAUUGUUUACAUGAAAUUGUAAAACUUGAUGAUAACGUAGGAUAAGGUGAAAAAAGUGUCAUUUGAAGUAUAGAAAGUCACUUUACAUCAAAAGUACCAUAAUAAAACUUGUUCUCAUUCAUCCUGUGUGUCCAUACACACUGGUGCUCUUUAUACUCUCAAAACGGUAUACAGCGCUUGAGAAGGCGCUAGGAGCAAAGGAAAGUGGUUUAUCUAACAAACUCAUAUAAUCAAUUGCCCGACGGACUCCAAUAUGAUAUUUUUCACAUAGUUAGACAUAAUACAGUACUAUGAAAUGUUUCUGACCUAAAAUAAGACGAAAUAUGAUUGUUUACAUUAAAAUGUAAAACGAUGAUAAUGUAUGAUAAGGUGAAUAAAUGCAAUUUGAAGUGUAGAAAGUCACUUUUCAUCAAAAGUACAAUAACAAAACUUGUUCCCAUUCAUCCUGUGUGUCCAGACACACUGGUGCUUUUUUUUACGCUCCAAAUAGUAUACAACGCUUGAGAAGGCGCUAGGAGCAAAGGAAAGUGGUUUUUCUAACAAAUUCAUAUAAUCAAUUGCCCGACCUACUCCAAUAUGAUAUUUUUCACAUAUUUACACAUAAUAUAGUACUAUGAAAUGUUUCUGACCUAAAAUAUUACGAAAUAUGAUUGUUUACAUUAAAAUGUAAAAGUUGAUGAUAAAGUGUGCUAAGGUGAAAAAAGUGACAGUUUAUGUCUAGAAAGUCACUUUUCAUCAAAAGUACAAUAACAAAACUACUUCCCAUUCAUCCUGUGUGUCCAGACACUCUGGUGAUCUGUAUACGCUCAAAACGCUAUACAGCGAUUGAGAAGGCGCUAGGAGCAAAGGAAAGUGGUUUUUCUAACAAACUCAUGUAAUCAAUUGCCCGACCUACUCCAAUAUGAUAUUUUUCACAUAUUUACACAUAAUAUGGUACUAUGAAAUGUUUCUGACCUAAAAUAUUACGAAAUUUGAUUGUUUACCUUAAAAUGUAAAAGUUGAUGAUAAAGUGUGCUAAGGUGAAAAAAGUGACAUUUUAUGUCUAGAAAGUCACUUUUUAUCAAAUGUGCCCUAACAAAACUUGUUCACAUUCGUCCUGUGUUUCCAUACACUUUGGUGCUCAUCAGACGCUGAAAACCUUAAACAGCGAUUUUCAAGCAUCUGAGAGCGAAGGAAAGUGUUUUUUCUAACAAACGCAUAUAAUUAAUUGCAUGACGUCCUCCAAUAUGAUAUUUUCCGAUAUUUAUGACAUACUAUAGUACUAUGACAUGUUUCUGACCUAAAAUGAUAAAAAAAUAUGAUUGAUUACCUUAAUAUUUAUAAGUUGAUAAUAAAGUAUAAUAAGGGGGGAAAAAACAGACAAUUGAAGUGUAGAAAGUCACUUUUCAUCAAAUGUGCCUUAACAAAACUUGUUCACAUUCGUCCUGUGUGUCCAUACAGACUGGUGCUCUUCAGACUUUGAAAACCCUAUACAGCGUAUAGCGCUAAUAUACAGCACUAAUAUAGUCUAUUAUAGUAUAUUAUAAACAUGCCAAACUAUCAUAUUAAGUCAUAAACAAGUCAACCAUCUCAUAUUAAGUCAAUAACAUGUGAAAUAUGUCAUAGUAUCAUAUUAAAGCAUGAACAAGUAACAUAUAUAAUUUUAAGUCAUAAGCAAGUGAAACAUCUCAUAUUGAGGUGGUUCACACGUUUAUGACUUAAUAUGAGAUAUUUCAC
Long non-coding RNA from Ictalurus punctatus (channel catfish), 2634 nucleotides. The record is from Ensembl. Lineage: Eukaryota; Metazoa; Chordata; Actinopteri; Siluriformes; Ictaluridae.